UGGUUCAUACCCAUGAUUAAAAGGGAACCGGGUUAGAGUCCCGGACAGUCCCGCUGCUGUGUUCGGCAUUAUGCUACAGAAACUUAAGUCACUGGAUGUUCUUCGGGAAGACUUCUGUAAGCUGCCGUCAGUCAGAAGACCUGCCGCUGCCUUA
This 154-nucleotide non-coding RNA is filed under the name uncultured Prevotella sp. Lineage: Bacteria; Pseudomonadati; Bacteroidota; Bacteroidia; Bacteroidales; Prevotellaceae. The record is from RNAcentral.